GUAAAAUGGACCAAUCAGCAGGAUGUGGGUGGGGCCAAAUAAGGGGAUAAAAAGCAGGCCAUGCGAGCCACCUGUGGCAACCCACUUGGGUUCCCUGCGAUGUUGUGGAAGGGUUGUUGUUUUGCUGUUUCCAGUAAAUGUUGGUGUUGCUCAGUUUUUGGGUCCACACUGUGUUUAUGAGCUGUAACACGCACUGCAAAGGUCUGCAGCUUCACUCCUGAGGUCAGCGAGACCAUGAACUCACCAACCUGCUGGGAGGGAUGAACAACUCCGGACGCGCCACGUUUAUGAACUGUAACACCACGAAGGUCUGCAGCUUCGCUCCUGAGGCCAGCACGACCAUGAACCCAUUAGAAGGAAUGAACAACUCCAGACGCGCUGCCCUUAGGAGCCGUAACACUCACUGUGAAGCUUUCACAGGAUCACUCUGGCUGCUGUGUUGAUCCUGGACUGUCAGGGUACAAAGGUAGAGGAGACAUUGCGGUGAUCCCAGGGCCCUGGAGAGAGGAGUGGCAGUGGAACUGAUGAGAGGUGCUCAGAUGCUGGAGAGAACUAGAGUGACUUGCCCAAGGUCACACAGCUAGUCAGCAGGAGAGCCAGGGAAAACCCCAGCUGACAUCUUUUCUUCUGGAGACAGUACAAGAUGACGUCUUUGGAGGGCUCUUCAAAUAAAGUAUGAUGCAAAUAAAAAGAUUUUGCCUUUUGGAAACUUCUUCCGAAACCCCUUAUGGUAUUUCAUCAAUCACAAAAAUGGGAAUUGAGUCACCUGCCCGAGCCCUGUAACCAGGACAGUUGUAGCACACGCUGAACGAUGGCCCUGACAGAUGUGACUGAGUCUCCCUCGCCUUCUGUUUUGUUUGUGUGUCCAGAACUCCUAUUUGUGAGAAAAUUGUAUUCCCUGCGCUUGAGUCCUGGUCUUCUGAGCUGACAUAAGGAACUGUAAGCAGUGGGGGCUGCCAUGCAGCAGGGCUCCAUCUGCCCCAAGUCUCUGUGACUGCUGCUCGCUGCACAGAGGCCCUGGGUGAUCAGAGGCUGCACCGGUGAACCUGUGCAGCCCCGCGCAUCCCGACAGGCCACACGUAAUUUCUGCCUCUCAGUGAAAUCUACCUGCAAGAUUUGCUCUUAUUUUCUCUGCAGCAAACAACAGGAUGAACUUUAUUUUCUCAUUGAAAACAAGGUGCCGGGAAGUGAUUGCGCACCCGUCGGAGAUGCACAGAGCCUUGGGCUUCAGACUCUCCCCUGAAGCCCCGAAAAGCCACCCUCAUUGACCACAUGUACUGAGUGCCCAUCCGAGCAGGACUGCAGGAGCGGCUGGACUGUCCAUGACCCCUAACAACCCACAUGUCCAGAGAUGGCGUUUCUGUCUUCUUGGGAGGGAGGCCUGUUGAGCUGCAUCUGCACCUCAUGAUGCCCGGAGUGGCACGUGGAGCUGCACCUGCACACUUGGCUUCUGGUUGCCGGGGUGCCCAGGGAGUUCACCAUCGGAUAGCAGCCCGCUGCCUGCCUCUCUCUGCCCUCCUGUGGGACACUCCUCGGCUCCCAUGACCUCUCGGAGCCCACAUUUGCCCUCCUGCUCACCUCACCAGGCCCUGGAAGUUGCAGGCUGCAGGUGGGCAAGGGAGGCUGCCACCACUGCUUGGGAUCCGGUCUCCUGGUGGCUGCCUGCAGAGACCGCCCAGAUAAGGGGACGAGGAGUUGGUGUCCUGUGAGACAAACUUCAGUCAAUGGCAGACAAGAGUCAGUGGAUGAAGUCUGCCUUCCUUCGUGGACUGUUUUAUGAUACUGUUUAUAGUUUAGUCAGCCUCUCCGGAGACAUCCUGUAAGGCAGAAAAAUCACGGUUUUGUGAGGAGCUCAGCAAUGCACUUGUGUUUGCUCUCCCUCCUUCCCUCCUUGCUCCUUCCUUCCUUCCCUGCUUCCUCCUUCCCCUUUCUUCCUUUUCUGCUUCCUC
This 1949-nucleotide long non-coding RNA is filed under the name Homo sapiens (human). RNAcentral describes it as "HSALNT0323993". The record is from RNAcentral. Lineage: Eukaryota; Metazoa; Chordata; Mammalia; Primates; Hominidae.